UGAGUGAAGAAGGGUUUCGGCUCGUAAGCUCUGUUGUUAAAGAAGAACACGUAUGAGAGUAACUGUUCAUACGUUGACGGUAUUUAACCAGAAAGUCACGGCUAACUACGUGCCAGCAGCCGCGGUAAUACGUAGGUGGCAAGCGUUAUCCGGAUUUAUUGGGCGUAAAGAGAGUGCAGGCGGUUUUCUAAGUCUGAUGUGAAAGCCUUCGGCUUAACCGGAGAAGUGCAUCGGAAACUGGAUAACUUGAGUGCAGAAGAGGGUAGUGGAACUCCAUGUGUAGCGGUGGAAUGCGUAGAUAUAUGGAAGAACACCAGUGGCGAAGGCGGCUACCUGGUCUGCAACUGACGCUGAGACUCGAAAGCAUGGGUAGCGAACAGGAUUAGAUACCCUGGUAGUCCAUGCCGUAAACGAUGAGUGCUAGGUGUUGGAGGGUUUCCGCCCUUCAGUGCCGGAGCUAACGCAUUAAGCACUCCGCCUGGGGAGUACGACCGCAAGGUUGAAACUCAAAGGAAUUGACGGGGGCCCGCACAAGCGGUGGAGCAUGUGGUUUAAUUCGAAGCUACGCGAAGAACCUUACCAGGUCUUGACAUCUUGCGCCAACCCUAGAGAUAGGGCGUUUCCUUCGGGAACGCAAUGACAGGUGGUGCAUGGUCGUCGUCAGCUCGUGUCGUGAGAUGUUGGGUUAAGUCCCGCAACGAGCGCAACCCUUGUUACUAGUUGCCAGCAUUAAGUUGGGCACUCUAGUGAGACUGCCGGUGACAACCGGAGGAAGGUGGGGACGACGUCAGAUCAUCAUGCCCCUUAUGACCUGGGCUACACACGUGCUACAAUGGACGGUACAACGA
Molecule: ribosomal RNA, 848 nt
Filed under: Limosilactobacillus fermentum
Lineage: Bacteria; Bacillati; Bacillota; Bacilli; Lactobacillales; Lactobacillaceae
Description: bacterial SSU rRNA
Rfam family: Bacterial small subunit ribosomal RNA
Source: RNAcentral